AUUGAACGCUGGCGGCAGGCCUAACACAUGCAAGUCGAACGAGUGGCGGACGGGUGAGUACUGUCUGGGAACCUGCCCGAUGGAGGGGGCUAACUACUGGAAACGGUAGCUAAUACCGCAUACCAUCGGGUGUGCCCCGAUGGGGUUAGCUAGUAGGUGGGGUAACGGCCAACCAAGGCGACGAUCCCUAGCUGGUCUGAGAGGAUGACCAGCCACACUGGAACUGAGACACGGUCCAGACUCCUACGGGAGGCAGCAGUGGGGAAUAUUGCACAAUGGGCGCAAGCCUGAUGCAGCCAUGCCGCGUGUAUGAAGAAGGCCUUCGGGUUGUAAAGUACUUUCAGCGAGGAGGCGUUACUCGCAGAAGAAGCACCGGCUAACUCCGUGCCAGCAGCCGCGGUAAUUC
This 406-nucleotide ribosomal RNA is filed under the name uncultured bacterium. RNAcentral describes it as "partial 16S ribosomal RNA". It matches the Rfam family "Bacterial small subunit ribosomal RNA", at positions 30 to 526 of the family's 1533-position model. The record is from RNAcentral.